RNAcentral lists this long non-coding RNA (1184 nucleotides) under Oryctolagus cuniculus (rabbit). RNAcentral's name for it is "lncRNA (ENSOCUG00000035295.1)". Lineage: Eukaryota; Metazoa; Chordata; Mammalia; Lagomorpha; Leporidae. The record is from RNAcentral.
AGCCUCAACUUGGGAUGCCCCCAUGCCAUAUUUGGGUGCUAAUCCAAAUCUCUACUACUAUGCUUCAGAUCCGGUGCUAGCUGGUGUGCCUGAGAAGCAGUGGAGGAUAUCUCAAGUAUUUGAAUCCCUGCCACUCAUAUGAGAGAGCAGAAUGGAGUUUCUGGCUCCUGGCUUCAGCCUGACAAAGCCCCAGCUGUUGCAGUCAUUUGAGAAGUGCACCUGCAGAUAAAAGAUUCUUCUCUCUCUGUUUCUUUCUCUGUCUCUCUGUGUGUGUGUCAGUCUAUGUUUGAAAUAAAUAAAUCUUAAGCGCAUCAGGCUCACCUCAAUAAUGAAUAUAUGCAGGGAGUGGCAAGUGUACAAGAUGUGUCCAGCCUUCUGAUCAACUUACUAAUCAGCACCCCUUUCAAGUUUCAUGGCAAGUCUCUCACACACUCAGAAAUAUGUUCCAUAUCAUCCUAGCCGCACUGCUCAACUAAAAUCAAGCCUUCACUGAACUGCUCAGGUUGCCAGACCUCAUUUAUUUCAAAACAUGCACAGUGCUAUCUGCCCAGCUGCCCCUAUAUCAUCAUUUACUACUCUAAGACUGGUUUUUCACAUUUUCUGUGAGUCAUGUCAACACAGAUGUUGUUAACACAUCAACACAGACAAUGAGUCCACAUCCUGCAGUUGCUGCAGCUGUAGCUACUCCUGUUCUCCAUAUAAUUCCACAGGACAAAUAUACUGCAGGAGUUUUCAGUUCUCAACAGCAUCUAAAUGCAAGCAUCUAAAUGCAAGCCACAAGUUACCAUGAAAUAGCCUACUGUCCACGUAUAAGGUCAGGAAUCUUCAGCUGUUUCCAUGUUGGCAUUAGCUGCUCCUCAGAAGCAAAGCAAAUGUUCGAGUUUCAUUGUGGCAUAGUGGGUAAAUCAGAUGCUUGUUUAAGGUGCUGGUUUAAGUCCUGGCUGCUCAACUUCCAAUCCAGCUUCCUGCUAAUGUGCCUAGGAAAGCAGCUGAGUAUGGUCCAAGUACUUGGGCACCUGCACCUAUGUAGGACAUCCAGAGAAACUUCCGAGCUCCUGGCUUCAGACAAGCCCAGCUUUGAGGACUAAGCCAUUUGAGGACUAACAAGAUCGAUCUCUCUUUCUGUCUGUAACUCUUUCAAAUUAGUAAAUAAAUAUUUUUAAAUAAAGUUUGAUAAUUAUUCA